GGGGUGCGGACAGUGUCUGGUGGGUAGUUUGACUGGGGCGGUCUCCUCCCAAAGAGUAACGGAGGAGCACGAAGGUUGGCUAAGCAUGGUCGGACAUCAUGCGGUUAGUGCAAAGGCAUAAGCCAGCUUGACUGCGAGAGUGACGGCUCGAGCAGGUACGAAAGUAGGUCUUAGUGAUCCGGUGGUUCUGAAUGGAAGGGCCAUCGCUCAACGGAUAAAAGGUACUCCGGGGAUAACAGGCUGAUACCGCCCAAGAGUUCAUAUCGACGGCGGUGUUUGGCACCUCGAUGUCGGCUCAUCACAUCCUGGGGCUGAAGUAGGUCCCAAGGGUACGGCUGUUCGCCGUUUAAAGUGGUACGCGAGCUGGGUUUAGAACGUCGUGAGACAGUUCGGUCCCUAUCUGCCGUGGGCGUUGGAAGAUUGAAAGGGGCUGCUCCUAGUACGAGAGGACCGGAGUGGACGCACCACUGGUGUUCGGGUUGUCAUGCCAAUGGCAUUGCCCGGUAGCUAAGUGCGGAAGAGAUAACCGCUGAAAGCAUCUAAGCGGGAAACUUGCCUUGAGAUGAGUCUUCCCUGACUCUUUAAGAGUCCUAAAGGAACGUUUAAGACUAAGACGUUGAUAGGUUGGGUGUGUAAGCGUAGCGAUACGUUGAGCUAACCAAUACUAAUGAACCGUGAGGCUUAACCUGACAACACCGAAGGUGUUUUAG
Molecule: ribosomal RNA, 710 nt
Filed under: Providencia rettgeri
Lineage: Bacteria; Pseudomonadati; Pseudomonadota; Gammaproteobacteria; Enterobacterales; Morganellaceae
Description: bacterial LSU rRNA
Rfam family: Bacterial large subunit ribosomal RNA
Source: RNAcentral